RNAcentral lists this ribosomal RNA (253 nucleotides) under uncultured bacterium. Its description in RNAcentral is "partial 16S ribosomal RNA". It matches the Rfam family "Bacterial small subunit ribosomal RNA", at positions 524 to 776 of the family's 1533-position model. The record is from RNAcentral.
UACAGAGGUCUCGAGCGUUCAACGGAUUCAUUGGGCUUAAAGCGUACGUAGGCGGGCGUGCAGGCGUCGUGUGAAAGCCCUCGGCUCAACCGAGGAAUUGCAUGGCGAACCGCACGUCUUGAGACAAGUAGGGGCGGUCGGAACGAUAGGUGGAGUGGUGAAAUGCGUUGAUAUCUAUCGGAACGCCGAUGGUGAAGACAGGCCGCUGGGCUUGUUCUGACGCUGAGGUACGAAAGCGUGGGUAGCGAACGGG